AGAGUUUGAUCCUGGCUCAGGAUGAACGCUAGCGGGAGGCUUAACACAUGCAAGUCGAGGGGCAGCACGGGUAGCAAUAUCUGGUGGCGACCGGCGCACGGGUGCGUAACGCGUAUGCAACCUACCUUUAACUGGGGCAUAGCUUCGAGAAAUCGGAAUUAAUACCCCAUAAUAUUAUGAAGUGGCAUCACUUUAUAAUUAAAGCUCCGGCGGUUAGAGAUGGGCAUGCGUGACAUUAGCUAGUUGGUAAGGUAACGGCUUACCAAGGCUACGAUGUCUAGGGGGUCUGAGAGGAUGAUCCCCCACACUGGUACUGAGACACGGACCAGACUCCUACGGGAGGCAGCAGUGAGGAAUAUUGGUCAAUGGGCGCAAGCCUGAACCAGCCAUCCCGCGUGAAGGAUGAAUGUCCUAUGGAUUGUAAACUUCUUUUGUACGGAAAGAAACCCCCCGACGUGUCGGGGGUUGACGGUACUGUACGAAUAAGCAUCGGCUAACUCCGUGCCAGCAGCCGCGGUAAUACGGAGGAUGCAAGCGUUAUCCGGAUUCAUUGGGUUUAAAGGGUGCGUAGGCGGGCUUCUAAGUCAGUGGUGAAAACCUACAGCUUAACUGUAGAACUGCCAUUGAUACUGGAAGCCUUGAAUACGGUUGAGGUAGGCGGAAUGUGUAAUGUAGCGGUGAAAUGCUUAGAUAUUACACAGAACACCGAUUGCGAAGGCAGCUUACUAAGCCGUAAUUGACGCUGAGGCACGAAAGCGUGGGGAGCAAACAGGAUUAGAUACCCUGGUAGUCC
RNAcentral lists this ribosomal RNA (793 nucleotides) under uncultured bacterium. RNAcentral describes it as "bacterial SSU rRNA". It matches the Rfam family "Bacterial small subunit ribosomal RNA", at positions 8 to 796 of the family's 1533-position model. The record is from RNAcentral.